RNAcentral lists this ribosomal RNA (402 nucleotides) under uncultured eukaryote. RNAcentral describes it as "partial 18S ribosomal RNA". It matches the Rfam family "Eukaryotic small subunit ribosomal RNA", at positions 592 to 976 of the family's 1831-position model. The record is from RNAcentral.
CAAUAGCGUAUGCUAAAGUUGUUGCAGUUAAAAGGCUCGUAGUCGAUUUUGUGUCCGUGUGCGCUUGUCCCUGUCUCUUUGUAGAUUGUGUGAUUGAGCGCGCCGGUCUUUAGUCUGGUGCGUGGUGUGUGGUUCCUUGAUUGGUUCCACCACCGAAUGAAACGCAACUCCAGACCUUUUACUGUGAGAAAAUCAGAGUGCUCAAAGCAGGCUUUCACGCCCGAAUGGUUCAGCAUGGAAUAAUGAGAUAAGACUUUGGUCCUACCCCGUUGGCUCGAUGAACCAAAGUAAUGAUUGAAAGGGAUAGUUGGGGGUGCUAGUAUUGUAUGGUCAGCGGUGAAAUGCGAGGACCCAUACAAGACUAACUACUGCGAAAGCAUUCACCAAGGAUAUCUUCUUUGA